CCUGACUGCUAUCGGAUUGAUACUAAGCCAUGCGAGUCUUUGCAGUAAUGCAAGGCAUACGGCUCAGUAACACGUAGUCAACUUACCCUAUGGACGAGGAUAAUCUCGGGAAACUGAGCAUAAUACUCGAUAGAUCAUAAUGCCUGGAAUGGUUUAUGGUUGAAAUGAUUCGUCGCCAUAGGAUGGGACUGCGGCCUAUCAGCUUGUUGGUGAGGUAAUGGCCCACCAAGGCGAUUACAGGUACGGGCUCUGAGAGGAGAAGCCCGGAGAUGGGUACUGAGACAAGGACCCAGGCCCUAUGGGGCGCAGCAGGCGAGAAAACUUUGCAAUGUGCGAAAGCACGACAAGGUUAAUCCGAGUGAUUUCUGCUAAAGAAAUCUUUUGCAAGUCAUAAAACCACUAGUGAAUAAGGGGUGGGCAAGUUCUGGUGUCAGCCGCCGCGGUAAAACCAGCACCUCAAGUGGUCAGGAGGAUUAUUGGGCCUAAAGCAUCCGUAGCCGGCUCUGUAAGUUUUCGGUUAAAUCCAUGUGCUCAACGCAUGGGCUGCCGAAAAUACUGCAUAGCUAGGGAGUGGGAGAGGUAGACGGUACUCGGUAGGAAGGGGUAAAAUCCUUUGAUCUAUCGAUGACCACCUGUGGCGAAGGCGGUCUACCAGAACACGUUCGACGGUGAGGGAUGAAAGCUGGGGGAACAAACCGGAUUAGAUACCCGGGUAGUCCCAGCUGUAAACGAUGCAGACUCGAUGAUGCAUUGGCAUAUAGCCAGUGCAGUGUCGCAGGGAAGCCGUUAAGUCUGCCGCCUGGGAAGUACGUACGCAAGUAUGAAACUUAAAGGAAUUGGCGGGGGAGCACCACCAAGGGGUGAAGCCUGCGGUUC
This 876-nucleotide ribosomal RNA is filed under the name uncultured archaeon. RNAcentral's name for it is "bacterial SSU rRNA". It matches the Rfam family "Archaeal small subunit ribosomal RNA", at positions 21 to 903 of the family's 1478-position model. The record is from RNAcentral.